UGAGGGUCUAGGCUGCAGGUGCUCUUACCUGGCGUUCCGUGGCGCUGCGCUGGUGGGCUAUUUAAGCGCUCCCUUCUCAGUCGUUCCCCCUUUUGGCUCACACGCUCUUCCGGGCCUCUCCUUGUGGCCGCUCUGUCCUCCAGCUCAGGUAACGUUCACUUGGUAAAUUCCAUGCCCGUUACAUCAAAUUUCCUAUCACGUUUCCUUUUAGUGUCGCUGCUUGGCCGCUGCUUGGCCGGUGCUCUCACCACAUCUGUCCCUCGCGUCUCCGAAUCACGGAGCACCUAGGGCGCGCUUUCGUCUCCCUGAUAAGCUCCACGGGUGAGCCGAGCGAGUCCCUCCCCAUUGCGCUUGGCGGUGCGCCGCCGUGUCUCUUAAACCGCGGCGGCAGCGUGUGCCGGUCCACGUUGUCUGGACCACUUCUGGACGGCGUUAUCCUGUGUAGUCGCCUUUGAUUCAGCCUGGGGAUUACGCACUGUCACCUUCAACCACGGUGUCAGCGGGGGCCUGCAGCGGCGUGAGGACACCACCUCUGCUGUUUUGUUUUUUUGUUUUAUUUG
This is a long non-coding RNA of Boleophthalmus pectinirostris (great blue-spotted mudskipper), 560 nucleotides long. RefSeq lists it as uncharacterized. Lineage: Eukaryota; Metazoa; Chordata; Actinopteri; Gobiiformes; Gobiidae. The transcript is spliced from 4 exons. The record is from RefSeq and is a predicted model, not a curated record.